Molecule: ribosomal RNA, 462 nt
Filed under: uncultured bacterium
Lineage: Bacteria
Description: bacterial SSU rRNA
Rfam family: Bacterial small subunit ribosomal RNA
Source: RNAcentral
UGGAGGCAGCAGUGGGGAAUUUUGGACAAUGGGCGCAAGCCUGAUCCAGCCAUGCCGCGUGCGGGAAGAAGGCCUUCGGGUUGUAAACCGCUUUUGUCAGGGAAGAAAUCCUUUGAGUUAAUACCUCGGGGGGAUGACGGUACCUGAAGAAUAAGCACCGGCUAACUACGUGCCAGCAGCCGCGGUAAUACGUAGGGUGCGAGCGUUAAUCGGAAUUACUGGGCGUAAAGCGUGCGCAGGCGGUUAUGCAAGACAGAUGUGAAAUCCCCGGGCUCAACCUGGGAACUGCAUUUGUGACUGCAUAGCUAGAGUACGGUAGAGGGGGAUGGAAUUCCGCGUGUAGCAGUGAAAUGCGUAGAUAUGCGGAGGAACACCGAUGGCGAAGGCAAUCCCCUGGACCUGUACUGACGCUCAUGCACGAAAGCGUGGGGAGCAAACAGGAUUAGAAACCCGUGUAGUCCC